UUGCAGUGAUGACUUGAAUUUCUUCACCUGAACAUUGUGUUGAACUCAUCUUUUAAACUGAGCAAG
Rhinichthys klamathensis goyatoka is the source of this 66-nucleotide small nucleolar RNA. NCBI's taxonomy places the organism in Eukaryota, Metazoa, Chordata, Actinopteri, Cypriniformes, Leuciscidae. The record is from RefSeq and is a predicted model, not a curated record.